CGAAGCGGAGACCGGAGCCGCGAGCGCCACCAGGGCAGCAGCCGCCGCAGCCGCCGCCGCUGGACAGAGGAGCCGGAGACGCGAGCGGGCGAGGUGGCGGCGGCGGCGGAGCGGGAGCGGGUACCGGGCGCGGGCAGAGCGCGGCGGCGCGGGUGUGUUCGAGAGUACAAGCCUUCAAACAUAUUUGCUAUAUUGACACUGAGCUGUCAGGGGACUCAGGCUUAUGAGGAGGUAUUGUUACACAAAACAGUGUCUAGUGAAGACGACAAGAAAGAGGGGAAAAGAUCGGAAAAAGAAGCUAAAAUACUAUAGAAAACCAUGAGAUCUAUUCGAUCUUUUGCUAAUGAUGAUCGCCAUGUUAUGGUGAAACAUUCAACAAUCUAUCCAUCUCCGGAGGAACUUGAAGCUGUUCAGAAUAUGGUAUCUACUGUUGAAUGUGCUCUUAAACAUGUCUCAGAUUGGUUGGAUGAAACAAAUAAAGGCACAAAAACAGAGGGUGAGACAGAAGCGAAGAAAGAUGAGGCUGGAGAAAACUAUUCCAAGGAUCAAGGUGGUCGGACAUUGUGUGGUGUAAUGAGGAUUGGCCUGGUUGCAAAAGGCUUGCUGAUUAAAGAUGAUAUGGACUUGGAGCUGGUUUUAAUGUGCAAAGACAAACCCACAGAGACCCUGUUAAAUACAGUCAAAGAUAAUCUUCCUAUUCAGAUUCAGAAACUCACAGAAGAGAAGUAUCAAGUGGAACAAUGUGUAAAUGAGGCAUCUAUUAUAAUUCGGAAUACAAAAGAGCCCACACUAACUUUGAAGGUGAUACUUACCUCACCUCUAAUUAGGGACGAAAUGGAGAAGAAGGAUGGAGAAAAUGUUUCGAUGAAAGAUCCUCCGGACUUAUUGGACAGGCAGAAAUGCCUGAACGCCUUGGCGUCUCUUCGACAUGCCAAAUGGUUUCAGGCAAGGGCAAAUGGAUUAAAAUCAUGUGUAAUUGUCCUCCGCAUUCUGCGUGAUUUGUGCAACAGAGUCCCCACAUGGGCACCAUUGAAAGGAUGGCCACUAGAACUUAUAUGUGAAAAGUCUAUAGGUACUUGUAAUAGACCUUUGGGCGCUGGGGAGGCCUUGAGACGAGUAAUGGAGUGUUUGGCAUCUGGAAUACUACUUCCUGGUGGUCCUGGUCUUCAUGAUCCUUGUGAGCGAGACCCAACAGAUGCUCUGAGCUAUAUGACCAUCCAGCAAAAAGAAGAUAUUACCCACAGUGCACAGCACGCACUCAGACUAUCAGCCUUUGGCCAGAUUUACAAAGUGCUGGAGAUGGACCCUCUUCCAUCUAGUAAGCCUUUUCAGAAGUAUUCCUGGUCAGUUACUGAUAAAGAAGGUGCUGGGUCUUCAGCUCUAAAGAGGCCAUUUGAAGAUGGGUUAGGGGAUGAUAAAGACCCCAAUAAGAAGAUGAAACGAAACUUAAGGAAAAUUCUGGAUAGUAAAGCAAUAGACCUUAUGAAUGCAUUAAUGAGGCUAAAUCAGAUCAGGCCUGGGCUUCAGUAUAAGCUUUUAUCUCAGUCUGGCCCUGUUCAUGCCCCAGUCUUCACAAUGUCUGUAGAUGUGGAUGGCACAACAUAUGAAGCCUCAGGACCAUCCAAGAAGACAGCAAAACUUCACGUAGCCGUGAAGGUAUUGCAGGCAAUGGGAUAUCCAACAGGCUUUGAUGCAGAUAUUGAAUGUAUGAGUUCCGAUGAAAAAUCAGAUAAUGAAAGUAAAAAUGAAACAGUGUCUUCAAACUCAAGCAAUAAUACUGGAAAUUCUACAACUGAAACCUCCAGUACCUUAGAGGUGAGAACUCAGGGCCCUAUCCUCACAGCAAGUGGCAAAAACCCUGUAAUGGAGCUCAAUGAAAAAAGAAGAGGUCUCAAGUAUGAACUCAUCUCAGAGACUGGUGGAAGCCAUGACAAACGCUUUGUAAUGGAGGUAGAAGUAGAUGGACAGAAAUUCAGAGGUGCAGGUCCAAAUAAGAAAGUGGCAAAGGCGAGUGCAGCUUUAGCUGCCUUGGAGAAGCUGUUUUCUGGACCCAAUGCGGCAAAUAAUAAGAAAAAGAAGAUUAUCCCUCAGGCAAAGGGUGUUGUGAAUACAGCUGUGUCUGCAGCAGUCCAAGCUGUUCGGGGCAGAGGAAGAGGAACUCUAACAAGGGGAGCUUUUGUUGGGGCAACAGCUGCUCCUGGCUACAUAGCUCCAGGCUAUGGAACACCAUAUGGUUACAGCACAGCUGCCCCUGCCUAUGGUUUACCCAAGAGAAUGGUUCUGUUACCCGUUAUGAAAUUUCCAACAUAUCCUGUUCCCCACUACUCAUUCUUUUAGCAAAUGACAGAAGCUAAUUCCUAUUGAACAACAAUACAGUACAAUACAGAAUGUUAGAGAAAAAGCCUUUUUAUCCUGCUUUCUUUGAACACAUACUUGAUCAAAAUUAUUUGUAAAGAACAUCUUUCCUACUUUUUGAUUUUAACAAAUGCAAAUUUAGUUCUCUAAAACUUGAAAAAAAAAAAAAAAAAAACCAGUUCUGUGAAAACGGUACCUCAUUUCUGGAAAAUAACUUAUACCAGCCCUUCUGUUCUAGGGAAAUAAAAGUCUAGCAGUUCAAAGUUUAAGUUUUAAGAGACGUAUCAGAUUAUGUAAAAUUAAAUUUGUGAAGGAUGUAUAGAGUCUCAAACACUGAUCACAAAUAAACUGCUUUGUUGUAACACAGAGUACUGCCUGGUUCCUGAUGCAGUCACUGAUUCUUAGUUGAUUGAUAUGUAUUUGCCCCAGGGCACUUUAAUUUGGGCUGUAGUUAUUUUUUUUAAUACAAUAGAGACUUUUCAUUUAAACUUUAACUUUGUAAAUAUUGAAGUGUGUAAUAAAGCCAAUAAAAUAUGGGUUUGAAUAUUGUUUUAGCUUAUUAUUUUUGAUAUGUUUUGGUAUCAAAUUACAAGGAAUUGAAAACUAAUAACUUAGCCCUAGAAGCCCAUUCACUUGUAAGCAAACUGCUAAAACAAAGCAAAGGUGAUUGUUAGUUUGAGCCAGUCUACUUACUUUGUAAGCCCUUUGUCCUCCUGUUGUACAAGGGCAUCCCCAUGAUAAAGGUUCCAUUCUGUUAUUCGAGCAUCGCUUAUUAAAAUGAUGGCACUACCCAGAGAUGGGGAAGGAGAAUGUGAUUAUCCUAGUUUAUGAAUUUCCAAGUUUUUAAAAAUAAUAAAUUAAUCAAUCGAUCACCCUCUCUUGUUCUUGUGGCCUUCUUCACUCUGUAAGAUAUUGUGUUCACUCCCUGGCUUUUUUCAUGCAGAUAGAAGAUUAGCGAUUUUGCUGGGAUUCAUUGAAGGGUCUCCUUUCCUCUUCAAUUACAUCAGAAUCUAAAGCAGCAACAGGGUCCCCAUAAAAACUUGCUCUUCAAUUGUCCCAGUUCUUGUUGAGUGCUGCUGUGAAAAGUGACAGGUUUCAGCCAUGGGUCAGCAUUUCUUUUUAAGACACCUGAUGAUGCUGGUGGAAAUGGAUCAGUGAGUAACAUUGUGCUGUUCUGUAAAGGGUGCAGACAUAAGUCCUCCACUUGCAUUCUCACCUUGUUUGGAAAGCCAAUGAUGUUACUAGAAGGUAAAUGGUUUCAUUAAGGUACUCACCCCCAUGAAGGAACAGCAGUGUGGUCCCCUGUCAAUAUUUAUAAGGCACCAUGUCUUAAAAAUGUCUGUUUUUAGUAUGAAUUAGCUUUCGUUUUCCCUGUUAAAUUCUGCUUUUGGGAACUUGACAGGGCCCAUCCAUGAGAAUGGGCUUCACAAAACAUGGCAAAUUUAUGUACCAAAUUUCUCUGGGGCCACUAAAUAAAGGUGAAACGGGCAAUGUACAACAAAUGUUAGUGUCACUGCUCAGAUAUAUAUUACACAAUGAUUAGUUUGUUUCUUCUCCUUGGUCUUUUGUCUUUAUUGGUGGUGGGUGAUACUUUAAUAAAACCUCAUCACUUGCUGGAAGUAGCUGUAACUUAUCAUUCUCAUCCUGUGCAUUAGUGGCUAGACAUAAACAAGAGGGCCCAUUUCAGCUGGGAGUUUUCAUGUUUCAUUGAUGCAUUUUGCUGACCUAUGGAUGAAACAGAGCCAUCACUGAGAAGAAAAAGCAUGGCUGAUAGUGUCCAGUUUUUAUUAAUUAAAUCUUUACAGUAGUCCUCAUUGUCUUUGGAAUACUAUUAAUUGGCAGCUGCAGCUGUAUUGUUAUUUGAAAUUGGUCAUCAAAUUUGGAUUCCACGUUGGAAUCUCUCUAGAGAUUUCUCGUUAGAAAAUUCUUUUGAAGUAGCUGACUCUGCUUCAUAACUCACGCCCUCUGUAAUGGUGAAAAGGGAGCUGUGCUGUUUUCCAACAUGAUGGCAGUCAUUUCAAAUGGUUUCUACCAAGUCUUUUUUUUUUUUCUUUUUUUAAUUUUGUUGUUUGUUGGAAGUUACUAACCAUGUUGUAAACCUGCCCAGUUGCUGCAAACUUUUACAUUUCUCUGCUUUACUUAAAAUAAUCGAGCUGUCAGUCCUUUGUUAGAAGUGGUAACCAUGCAAGUUCAACUGUUUAAAUUCUGUAAUGAAUUAAGCGUCCCCCCUCCCCACCUGUUGCCCUUCCCACCCUUCCAUUUUGUAAUGAAAAUUCCACUUACAGCUGAAAGAGCAGAGAAAUAUAAAUGAAGCUCUUGGCUUCACCAAAUUGCCUGAAAUUAACAUAAAGUUUUGCUUCUCUGCUCUUUUCUCCACUGUAGGUGGUUUUUUCAUUGACAGCCCCUAUUGCCAGCCUCUGAGCGUCGCACCAUUUAUUAUUCACUUGGGCCCUCAAGAUUUCUUCUCUGACUUCUAGAACCAUCAGGUUGUCUGGCUUGAAAUGGCAAUUUCUAUGUCUUGGUCUUAAGAGCAAUGUGACACCCUGAGGCUAUCCAGCUUUCAGACACCACUCUGACACCUUCUUUUUGAAAGCAAUGACUGAUCAUUUUAAAGAAGAGCAAUACUCUGUUCAAAGCCACGGUGUCUGUUUUAAAACUUUUCCUUUGGAAACCUAGCAAUAUCUGUACUUAACCCCUUUUUAGCAUAGUUUCUUGUCAGGGAGUUUAUAGAUGAGUGUAGAGCUUAAAAUUCGCGUGUGAGCUGUGCUAUGUUUUCACAGUUUUUACACUUUUUAGCAUAUAAAUAGUUACAUUCCUGUUAGUGUUGUUAUAAUUUCUCAGAAACAGGGGUCCUCCUCGAAGCCAUAUCCUCUGCAUGGGGACUGGCCCCAUGACUAGCCAGGGAUGUGGCUUGCAGCUUGUGUUUCCUCAGGUUGCAGGAGUACCCCAUCUCUUGUGCAAGGUAAUUGGUCCAGUAGAUUUCCAACAUACCUCAUGCUGACUAGAUGAAGUGCAUGGGUGGGGAAGUAAGGAGCUGAGUUUACAUAGUUCUGAAGUCGUUUGUAGUCUCUCUCAAAUUGUUAGCCUGGGGAACCAACCUCUGAGAGAUUUUGCUGGUAUUCACCAUUUUUUUUCUUUUUUUUUUUUUUUAAAUUUUGGGUGAAUGUUUGAAAAUCAUGAAUCAGCCACCGUUAUUAAUUGAAGAGCUAGGAAUACCUCGUUAAUGUACUUUUAAAACUGGUGUUGGACCCUCUGUGUAUUUCAGGUUAAUACUUUUAAGCAGUUUUCAGCACGUUUAUCUCACUUUAUUCUCGUUCUCCUCGGACCUUCGUAGCCAUAUCACUUGUAUAAAAUAGGCUGAGAUAUAGUGACUGUAAGCUGUGAUCUCAGUAUACAAAGAACCAACUUCAGCAAGACUCGGGGUGGUGAAUAUCGAGUCUGCGGAGACUGAAUAGACUUAAAGCAAUCCAUCUGUCUUUUCCAAGUUAGGUAGCUAGAUUAUUUAUUUCCCAUCUUAUUCAACCAUCAUGGAGUUCAUGUAACGAUGUGAGGGUUAGGCAGAUAUUUUAAUAAAGAUUUGCUUCAUUUAGGUGUGUCCCAUAAAUGCAUUUAAUUGUGUUAGAUGUUCUGUGCUAAGGCUGUAUUUGAUAUAUGUAGAUUAAAAUGAAUUUCAUGUUUCAUAUUUGUUUCUAAGUAGCAGUUUCUUUUGAUUACUCACUUUAAAGUUGCUGGAACAACUCUUGUUUUUUCCACGCAGAAUCUGUAUGUACAUUUAAUGUGGCUUUGGCAUCUAUAAAAGGUUGUACGAGGUAUAGCUAACUAGUACUGAGUGCGAUCCAGUCGUGCUGAAACAGCCCAUUGCCUAUUAGGUGCCAGGUCCUCUUCUGGGUACAAGUGAACAGAGGCUGUGACCAGUGGAAGCAUUUUAAUUCUGACAGUCUCCUUGUUGUUGGAAUUGGGCCUAUUACAAAUAUCUUGCUUUGGGAACCAGAUACCUUGUUAACUGUGGCAAAAAAGAACAUUAGCCCAGUCAUUAGUUUAAUUGUAAACUAUUUAAUAAUGUAGGCCCUCUGACAUCACUAAAAUAGGUGUCACUUGGAAAUUCACUCGUUUAAAAUAUUUCCCUGGCAGUUUUGAGAGCCCGAAACCUACUCUGGUUUACGUUCAUGGACCUCGGUCCAAUAAGUGAAUGUAAUGAAAUGAAUAACAAAUACUCCAGUCCUUUCCAGGUAGUUUUUAUAGCAGAGCAAAGGACAAAGUGGUUAAUUUAAACACUGAGCACAUUUUUUUUAAUGACAAAUGAGAAAGUUUCACCCUUAUAAUCAAUCAUUCACCAUAAUUUCCCUGUUUCCUAGAUGUCAUUAAUAACUGGAGGAAAAUCUUCAGUAGUGAGUUAGGGGAAAGAACUAAGGAGAUCCCCCCUGCCUUCCCCGCCCCCACCCCAGGAAUUAGAUUUCAAGCAAUCCAGAGCCCUAUACACCAGGGUCAUUAAGAGCAGUUAAAGCUGAAAACAACCUGCUCUGUAAAUGGUCUUCCCCUAAUUCCCAUUCAUCUUAUGCCAGUGCCUCCUGAGAGAGGGUGGGGCUAGCUCUGAAUCUCUGAAUGAGAAAGGUUCUGUGUAUUCAAACUCAUACUCUGUACAGUCUGACGCCAUGCUGUCCAGUGAACACAGAUUCCUCAGUGUUAUUAGGAGUCCUGGAGAGGAGACGGGUGGUAAAUAGAUAACAACAGCAGAGCCAAGAAACUACUGCUGAGGUAGGUUUCAAUAUUGAUGUGUUUCGCUCUAGCCCUUAUUCACAGAGCACAGAGCUGGUACUUAUAUAAGGAUGAGUCCCCUCCUUCCUUAAUAGCCUCUUCCCGAAAGACUGUUUUCAGUCAAUAAUUCCAGUUGAGUUGGUUGUAAGAAUAGAUAUCCUUUCCCACAUUAUCAUUUUAGGUAGGAACUAACAGAUUCCAUUGAUGCUUUGAAGCAGCAAUCUUCGGAGGUUUUUAAAAAUAGUACCAUAAUGCAAAUUAGGUUAUGUAAGCUUUACAGCACAGCUAGAAAUAGAGACUAGAAACCAUGUGGGAAUCUGGGCCAAAGAAUUUCUCUCCUUCCAGAACAUUCCCAUGGGGCUCAGGAAUUAGAUGAGUUAAUACACAUAAUACGUUUUGAACAGUACCUGGUGCAUAGUACGUACUCAAUAAUAUGUUGAGUGUUGUUACCAUGGUUGGCCGAGGUGAGGAUGAAUGUGAGGGGGGCGAGGCUGUGCCAAUAGGUGUUGGAGAGGCAGGUGCAUGGCCUGCUCAGGGUGGAGCUGUGUCGGUUCAUUGGUGCUGAUAGGCUUCACUGCCAGGCUUUGGGAGAGGGCUUCUGGUAUCUGGGUGUUAGACAAGAAACACACCCCAAGGACCUGGUGAGAGCUAGUGUGGUGGCGUUGCUGUAGAUCCAAGCUUAAGGAAAUUGCUCAUGCCUCUGUUACAGUAGUUAAAUUACCAGCCAGUCUGCUGCCAAGGGUUUGUAAAUACUUGUUUUCUUUGGGGGGGGGGGGGGGUUGGUAUUUAAGGGUGCUUAGAACUUCAUAAGGGCUGAUCUUAGAAUAUCUACCUGCUGAGUCCAAGUGUCCAACCAGUGCAUUAAUACUUUUUAAAAAACGUAUUUGGUUAUAGCUGCCUCCAGAAUCUAACCUUCAGGGCUUACCUGUGUUUAGUAGGUAGAAAGCAAGUUCCUUUACGGCACAGAAAGGAAAGGAGGAAACUGGUGUGCUUAAAAGGCUGUCGACUAGGAUGCUUCUCUGAAAAGCACUCCCAUAGCUUGUCUCUUCUAUUUUGCUUUGAUAUUUCUGGGGGAAAAAAUCUGCACUCAUCACCAUAUGAGGCCUCCCUUCUGCCUAUUAGUCUUAGAGAAAACCUAUCUGCCUAUCUGUUCAUCUUUCUCUUUGUCUAUCCAUUUACUUAUCCAUCUAUCUGGACACAGUUGGGAAAUUUCUUUUCGAUAAAAGGAAAAUGGGUACAUGAUGAAAUUGGUGCUUUUGGAUUAAACAGAGGGUGCACACCAUCUUAUCUUCCAUUCCUUUGUGUGUCUACAAAGAUUUCGGGGUCCUCUGCAGAAAGGUGGUCAGAUGCAUCCUUGGCUGUUGGUAAGAGGUGAGCUAAGUGGGAAACAUAGACUGGAGCCCUCAGAUGCUCCAAGUUUAUAAAAACUGUGUAUAGACAAGGACUGUUACCUUUAAGGAGGCAAAUAAGAUUUACCUCGUAGUCAAGAGGUUUUUCUUAAAUCUAAGAAAUACUUGUUUAGCUAAUGUCUUGGCAAGAGUUAGUGCAUUCCCCCCAGGGGAGGCUGUUUGGUGGAGUCUUUGCCCUGGUCAGCCAGCAUUGAGGGAGGACGACUUUUUUUGCCUUGACUGAUCAGUCGUUAACAGUCUAAUUAAGACCUUCUGAGGAGGGUCUUGGUCUCUCUUGGCAGAACUUUGCCAUUUCUGCAAAUGAACUGUGCCAUCCUGCUGGUGGGCAGGGUGAAUAUAGCCACCAUUUGCCCAGGCAGUUUCACACUGGACUAAAGUUCUCUGCAUUCAGGUGUCAGCUAAAUGCCCCAAGUAAUGAGGUGAACAGUAGCCCUCAGUUUAGGUCAUUUGGGGCAGCAGUAGAUUGAAGAAGUAGGAAGGGAAGGGGAAGGAGAGAUGCCACCAUUUGUAUCUUGUGUGCCAGGCAUUUGGACAUUUUUCUGGAUUCUCCAACUGCCUUCUUGGAAGUAGUAGUAUCCCUAGUUUACAAAAGAAACUGAUGCUCCGAGUUAAGUGCUAGAACCAUUAAUGGAACCUAGCUCUGUUCUAAAGCUUUUUCUGUUCCAUCCGCUGUGGAUUACAAGGCUGGGGUUGACAGGACGGGCUCUCCUGGAAGCUAGGCCCUCUGACUUGAGGUGCCUCCAGAUCAGAUAAACUGGCCUAAAAUAGGGCUCUUUUCAUUUAAAUUGGUUGUGAAGAACGAUCUAACAUACUGGAAGGACAGACUGAACGGCUGCAUUGCAUCUGUAUCAACAGAGGAAGCAUUUUUAUCUCAAGCUUGUUUUUCUCUGAAUUUCAGUGAAAUCUGAGGUAUGUAUUUUCACUUAGCUUAUAUUUUCUGAGUGCAUGUUCUCUGCCUGGCCUGAGAUAGGUCAUGAGGAUGUCUUCAACAAUUGAAGCCAGACUCUGAAGGCAGGCUGGUGAGGCUUUGACUCAUUGGGUACAAGGAAGAGGAGCACAGAGGGGCAGCAGCCCAGGUCUGGGGUAUAAGUGCAAGGGGGGUGUCCCUGGACAAGUACUCAGCAGAGAUGGGUGGUGACAGACUGCAGAGGUCAGUGGUCAUUGCCAGGAGUCUUCCUUGAGUAGGCCUCAGGGCAGACUGCCAGCCUGGAGUUUGCUGUCUUUCCUCUAAGUUGGACCCGUGUAUGGUAAGCCCUGCUUGGGAUGGCUUUGGGGUCUCUAAAUUGCUGCCUGUGAACCACCCUGUUGAACGUGUCGGAUUCUUCUGCUGCUGUAAACCACUUUACCAGCUCCUUGGCUAAUGAAUGACAGCUGGGUCUCUGCUUAGGCAUGGGUGGGUGCAGGGAUGGCUGCGGGAUCCUUUUCAGGGAAAGGUAUUCCUCAUCCACCCCAAGUCAUCAUCUUUCUUGGCAUUUGGCAAUGUUUCUGUGCACCCUGCUGUAAUCCUGGAGGGGAACAGGGAAAAGGGGAACAACCUUUGAAACCCAGGUUGUCGUGUUCUAGAUCAUGACUGUGUCAGGGAGAAUGAGCUCCUGGCAUUCGUAGAACACAGUCCUCUCUGAAGCCCUUUCCUACUUGUCACCUCAUGGCUUGCUGCACUGGUAGCCCUUGGAGAAGCGCAGUGCAUAGAUUGUCGUUCCCAGAGCGGAGCCCAGAGAUCUCUCCAAACCACCCUGCUCGUCUGUGGGAAAACAUUGUGGCUCCUAACUAGUUUUUAACCACCAGAAGAAUAACAUUUCUUAGACUGUUUUUAGAGUUAACAGCAGCCCUUUCUGAGGAAUUAGUUUUGAAUUUCACCACAACUGGAAUUAGAAAUUUUCUCCUUUUACAGAUGAGGAAACGGAUGCUUAGAUAAGGUGACCUGCCCCAAAUUAUAGUGCAGUGACUGGCAGCGCUCACCCAGUCUGAGGCUAUGCUCUGAGCAGGUGGUUUGCGUCGCUAGUGCGGACCAACGUCUGUUCUGUCUCCCAGGCCCACUUGGCAGCAGUGGCUUCUCUGUGAUGUGUUCUGCUCACCUUUCCUCUAGGCUUCUGGGCUAUCCCCUGUGCGCCUUGAAACCAAGCAAAAACCAACCCACGUCUCCCUGAUCCUUCCUCAGGCCCCUAAAAUCCAGACUUCCUGGCUCAUUCUGUUUCUGGUUCCUUUGUUAGUGUGCUACUGGACAAGGUGACCAAGUGGUCAGCUCUGGGCCCGGCAGCCUGGGUUUUUUUUUUUUUUUUUUUUGCCAGCUACACAGUUGGGGUCAGUUUCUACAGAUCAUCAUUUCAUGCUGUAACUGAACCCUAUAAUAAAGUGCAAAUUCGUUAAUGGCCACUUGGAGAGCUCCUCAGGGUGGGAAGGAGGACAGGGGAUGUACUGUUGGAAGUAUGUUAUGUUCAGACUCAUCUACAUUUUGGUUUUUGGCCACAUCCUCCGUUCCUGGCUCGGCCUUCAAACAUGUACUCUAACCCAUGGGAUCACGGUCACAGUAACACAUUUUCCAGAGCAAUCUGGUGUUGGGAUCCCCUUGGAUUCUUCUGUCAUGAGACUUCUCAGAAGUCUCAGGAAACUGAGGGAACUCAGGAAAGCUGAAAGCACCUUGAAAUGAGAUGGAAGGACCAGGUUAAGGCUGGUGAAGAGGAGACUGGAGAGAACGUGGGCACUCCCACCAGGUAUUUUUAAGGGAUUAUAUUUAUUUAUUGUAUGUAGUUCCAAAGCGUAAAAGACAAUUAUGGGAAGCCAGUGGGGCAAUUUGAGCUAAAAUACACCUCCCGCGAUGACAGACGCGGCCUUGAGAGAGCAGCUGAGGUGCGACAUGAGCUCCCUGUAAUCGGCAUGUUCCAGCAAGAAGCUGGUUGUGUGGAUGGCAAAGAGGAAAUUCUGUGGAAUGUCAGUUUGGACGAACUCUGAUGUGAUUGGUGAUGCUGCCAAGACUGUGUCUCCCUUCUUGGGCACGUAGAUUUAUUGAGAGAAAACAUUCACUGUCACCUACUGCUUCUUACCAGGCUUUGUGUUGGGGCAGAAGGAGCAGUUGGAGAAAAUGUCAGAAUUUGCAGCUUAGACAACUGAGUAGAAGGUGAAAUCAUUGACCCAGAUGGAGAGUACAGGCAGGGGAAGAAAGAGGCUCAGGGGAUUUGAACAGAAUGAGAGUCAUCCUCUUCUGUGCAGGCAGAAAGGCUUCACCGGGUCUCCCCCUCCCGGCUAGGGCUCCUCCUUGUCGGCCCUGGGCUGAUGGCUGGCAGACCCCUUCCCAGGUCUCCCGCCGAGGGCAGCAGAGGAGCCAGGCCUCAGAAGAGAAGUGCUUACUGAGUAAUUUACCAAGAUCUAUAGGCUUCCCACUGAGACAGACAGGGGAUCCCCAGGAGGGGAGUCAGAGGCAGGCCUGGCAUGCACAGAGAGAGUGUGCCCACUUGGAGAGCAUGAACGGCCUUGCCGUUGGACCUGAGAUGGUUAAGAGUGAAGUGGCAGGCGGGACACACAGUUUGCAGUCACUUCUUGAACGGCCCUGGGUGGUGUGUCCUUCAUUGAUGACCGUCGUCCAUGAUGGUAAGUUCCAGAGGGUCGAUUGGGACAGUUGGAUAGCCAAGGACCAGAGUCAGGAGGGAGGACUAAUGAGCAAGAGGCUGUUGCCAUCGGCCAGGUGAGGCAUGAGGGAGGCUGAUGGAGUGCAGCAGCAGAGGGAUGGAGAAGCAGGAAUGACAUCUCACAGGCCAGGCUCCUCUGCCGGACUGGGUAGGGAUGGGAAGAUGAUGGCCCCCAGCCCUGGGCCAAGGAACAACAGCACCCAUCCAGGGGAGGGGGACCUGCUGGAGUACUUCUGGACCACUGCUCAGUGGGCAAUAGAGAGAACAAUGGUGUCUCUGACCAGGAUGGGGGAAGGCAGGGGAGUGGAGGAAGAUACUGACAGGGUACAGAGGAGGUCGAAUGGAGCAAGGGCCAUCUCCACUGGGCUAGGAAAUGGGGCUUUGGUGGGCCACACUCCAUUGUGCUGGAGCACUCCAGCCUCUCCACUGGCAGUGGGUGGGGAGGGGCUUGUGAUCUAUCAGCAUCUUCACCCUUUCCAAGUUUCUGCUGGGCUGGGCUUUCCAGCCAGGAGUCACAGGUACCGGGUGGUCGUUCAUACUGAGGCCUUUUGCUUGGCAAAAAGUUAAUUCAGUUUUGUUCAUUUUUAACCUAAGCAAGGGUUGGAGGUUGUUGGAUUCAGCAUCUGUGGAACACAGUCUGUAGCCCAUGGGAAGGUGUGGAUAUUCUUUCCCAAGUUCUUGAAGGACGGAAAGGACUAUGAACUUGUGACCAGAGGAUUGGUUUUUGGUGUCAGAUUUCUGUCUGUCCCAGUGCUGCCACUUGCUUCGAAAUGGACAGGGAGAGCUGAAGGCCAGCGUGAGUUUCUGCACCUGUUUCCUACAGCUCUGCUGGGGACUGCAGCUCAGGUGGCAGCUGUGGACAUGGAUCCAGUCAGCCGUUGGGUGGCCAGAGCUCCAGGGCCAGGUGUCUCUUAGCUGCAAGCAGCCUUCACUGUUAAUCAGCAGGCUACACAAAUCUCACCUCUAAAGAGGUGAAAUGUGAAAAUAUGGGAAGCACCGCCUUAGACCUGUGUCCACAAAUCUUUUCUGUAAAGGGCCAGAUCGUGAGCAUUUCAGGCUUUAUGGACCAUGUGGUGUCUGCUACAGCUGCUCAGCCCUGCCACUGUAGCACAAAAGCAGCCAGAGACAGUACGUAAAUAGAUAGCAUGGCUGUGUUCUGAUAAAGCUUCAUUUACAAAUACACAGGGCCGUAGUUUGCCAACCCCUGCAAAGUAGGGAGUAUUUUGCCAAAGUUGGCUGUAUUUUGCCAACCCCUUAGACUAUAGAGAUGACUUACCCUUUGGCUUAAUCUUGACUGGAAACUUCCUUCCCAUCUGCUGCCUGGACCCAUCCACCUCUUCACAAAGGCUUCCUGAGCAUCUCCUCUGUGUGAGCACUGGCUCAAUGCAUAGGAUGGUGUAGUUCCUGCCCAUAUGGAACUUAGGUUUUGAGUGACAUCAUACAGAACAGGGCUUAGAGAAGUCCCGGGUGGUAGGGUCUCAAAGAGAAGGGCUGAGGGGGAAUCAGGAAAGCUCUGAAGGCGGGCAGCUCUGGAGUCGGGCUCAGAUGAGGAGGAGGCUGCAGUUCUCCAGGAAGGGAAACAGGACCAGAUGACGGAUGAGAUUGUGUUGAACAAUGAGGACUUCUGCAUAGUCACACAGGCUCAUGGGGUCCGCUCAUAAAGGACCAGGAGGGCCAGGCUCAGGAGCAUGGACUGGAUUCUCUGGGCAGUAGGGAGCCAUUGGACAGUUGUGCUCAGGAGGGUAAUGUGAUCACAAAUGCUUAUUAGAAAUGUCACUGGCUAUGGAGGACCAUGUCUGUGGUUCGAAGUUACACCUUUCAGUUUAGUCUGGACUUUUUGGUCAAGGUACUUUUGGUGUUAGAGUGGGGAAGAGAGGCCCAGAGAGUUGGACAGAUGUUCUGACCACUGGCUUGUAGUCAGUGAGCGCCCCACCUUUAUUUUGACAUGACAGAGCUCGACAGAAUCUUCCUUCUUCAGGCUUUUCUUUUCCUGCUGUCCUAAAGAUCAUGUACAAGGGCAGGAUAAAUGAAACAUUCUGUCUCCAAUCUAAGGUUGGCUUGGGGCCUCAGAAUAUGAAGGUAAAGAGGCGGGGACGGGCUGCCCCUUGCUUCAGAAUCCAGUCACAUGGCGGCAGUGCUCUAUGGAGCAGAUUGCUUCCUUUGUACAUGCCCUGGGCCUGUGGCCAGCAGGCCUCAGGGAAGAGGAGAUGCUGACCUCUUGUCUCCAGAGGCUGCCAGCUACUAAGGGAGGUUAAACCGACUACCCUUGGGGGUGGACUGCUCUGGGCAGGGCCUGAUGCCAGGCGUAGGGGAUUGAGGUGAAUCAGACAUGGUGGUCGCAUUGAGGAAUGCCCAGUGUAGUUGGGGUGAGGAACAAACCCACGGGUGUUUGUGGCGCUUUCUGCUGAGCAUGGUCUUUCCUCUCAGAGGGGUUUCUAGGUAUGUUGAAGGGAGCUCCCAUUCAGCGCAUUGGGGAGUUGCCAGGGACGUGAGCUGCUGCCAGUUUGACAUGAACAGAGGCUGGGAGUAGCUACCGCUGCUGUGCAUUGACAGGAGCACAGUGUCCACUGUGAAGGGGAGGGUAAGGCUGGAGAAGGAUGGCCUAAGACAAGUGCCUCCACAGAUGCUGAUUCAGUGAAGCCCCGUCAGCCCUGUGGGGGAGAUGAGGAUCACAUGCAGCUCGGAGAAGGCAAGGCACUUGCCCCCCUGCCUGAGCUGGGAGGUGGUGGCCAGUUCCACACAGCACUGUCCCAUGAUAGUGGCGAGGCGGGACCAGCUAUGGGCUAGCAGCGCUGCACCGUGACCCCCUUCCACAGGGCCCAGCCUUCCACAGGGCCCAGCCUUGUUUCUGGCCCUCCAGGACUGAGUCAGGAGGUGAAGCCUGUGGUGCUGUCCCAGCGCAGUCGGGCCAGGCGUGGGGAAAGGCAGGAGGGAGAUGUGUUGUGCUCUGAGCAGCCUGGCAGGCCCUGGAGAGGCAGGAAGCCACUGUAUGUAUACUUCAGGAACUGGGUGCUGCUUACUCUCAGUGAAGUUGUGUUUUGCUAAUCUCUGAGAAUCAGGUGAGGGAUACAGAAGAGUUGCACCUGGGUGGCUGCUGUCUUUAGACUUGUCGGGCUCCCUCUGAUACAGAAGUGCCUCUAGGAUUUUGCUGCCUGGUCUCCUCUCUUAUGGACAUGGAGUGGCUCUCAGGUUCUUAUGGUAGGUGUGGAACUUCUCAGCUCUAAGGAGGAGCACUUGCUGCAUUUUCUAGAGAAGUUUCUGGGUUCAUGGAAGGGAAACUGACAAACUGGAGCCUGGCACAGAUGGACAUUGGGUAAAGAGAAUGCAGCCCAUCCCUGGCUGCAGUGCCAGGCGUGGCCUUUCAUGUGGCAGCAAAUCACUUCCUGUGUCUCCAGCUUCAUAGGAAGGCUCUUGUCUGUCAGGCAGUGGAGUUCCAGACAAGAGCCUUGCUCAGGCCAGCCCUGCCCCUGCCUCUGCCUGCAGGCACAGGCGCUUUGCCAUCUGCCCUGUUUUCCUGCUUAGGGAAACAUGAUGGUCAGAACAUUUCUUGACUCUAACCAAAAUAUUUCUGCUGCUUUUGCAAGUCAGAUUCUUUUUCUUUUCAUUGUUCACGGAAAUGGAUCAAGAACAGGAGUUUUAGCGAGAGAGGUGGUGAGAAGUUCCUUCUCCACCUGUAAUUUGCAAAUUGUGUUUUAGGUUUCCAGCCUCUUUCCUCUGUUCUGGGUAUCUUGUGCUCUCCACCCUUGAGGGAUUUUGGUGUGGUGGGUCAGUGGCAAGACACUCGAUCCAGACACACACAUUUCCAAGGCACUUUCAUGUCACUUACCAAGCCUCCUUGUGUGCAGGUAUCAAUUCACUGGCUCCCUUAGGCUGCAGCCCUGACCCCCAAGGUAGUGAUGGCAGCCGGUGCACGAGGUAUGAUUUGGAAGUAACCAGGCAAGCCCUGGUUGCAAAAAAUACCUCUUCUGUCCCAACAGUAGGCCAGAGGUGCUGCCAUUAGACGCAUCCCUCUACCUACCCCCGAUCACUUUUCAUGCUCAGGCCAGCCUUGCACAAUCAGGUUCCGUUCACUCUGCACCCCCAUUUCUUAGAUGGGGUACUGAGCACUGCUUUUCCUUUAGCUCAAUUAAUAUGGCAGCUUCUCAGGGAUGGAACCUACCAUGGCUGUAGGAGAUGCUUCGCUACUACUUACUACCUUUCCUAGGGAGGGCAGCUCAUUUUUAGAAAUGCUGCUGGGGAGCCAAAUUGUAGGCAUCCAACCAGAGGGCCUCGCUCUCUUUGUCUCCCAGGAAUCAAGGGUAGCUCUGGCUCUCUGAGGAGCUGUCUCCAGCCUCCAGGUGGACGUCCUUUCCAGCAUACCAGGGCUUAUGGAGGCAAAAUGAAAGCUGGUCCACGUGGGAACUCCCUGCUGGUGUCCUUUCCUUGGGGAGACAUCAUAUACUUUUUAGCCCCUAGCAGUGUUCAUCCUGUUUUCCCCAAAGCAUCCUUGGACUCAGGCCUUUCAUCCUGGACCCAUCUGUCUGGCCUGUUGUGCUGAACCUUUGGUCUAAGUGGUUGGUUGGUCCCAGCCACUUCUUCAAAAGAAGGUUUCCUAAGGUAAUCAUCAGUUACGGCAGUUGUACUUCCAGGAACAGUGAGGCUGAUGGGCCUGUUCCCAAGGGUGCCUUGGCAGGGGGUGCCAGGGAAGGGGCUGGCCUAGGGCCAGGUUCAUCAUACCGUUAGCCCUACAGCCCCAUGCCUUUGUGUCCUGGUUUACCCGCCGUGUAGUGGUCCUGCAGGAGUGGAGCCUGUAGGACUUGCUUCUCACCCACUCCAAGCAGAACUGUCGGGGAAGGAGGUGGGAGGUGCAGCCAGUCUAGACCUGAAGCUCUCACACUAAGGAGUAAGGUAGGCCUGCUCAGCCUUAGCCCUUCGUCAGCUCCAAGGAUGGGGUACGCAGGAGGAGGCUGAGCGUAGUCGUGGAUAGAAACCUUUCCCUACUGCACGAUCACACACAUGGCAUUGGACUCCUGGCUGUAGCUCACUCGGGUCUACUGAAGACAAAGUUAGUUUUUAGAAAUCUAUUUAAAGUAUCUAUCAUGUAUCUAUUUACUGUGUUUUUCUGAAUACGCAAGUGUAAAUAGUAUAAUUUGCAGUGCAAAGUCCUUGGCAAUAAAUUUGUGUAUUAUGUUUAAAAACACUGGAAACCACGACCACCAUGGAUUGCCCUUCCCCUCUGAGGCAAUUAUUACAUGUAGGACUCUGAACUUUAAACCUUCAGCGUGACUGAAGCAGCAGCCUGCACAUGUGGACGGUCAUCAGUGCCUCGCCCAGAGAUGCCUGGCCUUCAUCCAAAGGGACCCUGCUGCCACAAGUCCUCCAGGCAGCACCCACACUGUGGCUCCUUCGCGCUGAGUAUGUUGGACUCUGCCAUAGACUGACCCUCUGUCUGGCUGCUGCAGUUUGUCUGUAAUGCCCUGACAUAUUGCAUUUUCCCCAUUUGGAUAAAUAAAAACAAAUGCUUCUGUCACACACA
RNA transcript from Rhinopithecus roxellana (golden snub-nosed monkey), 17657 nucleotides. It is a transcript of the gene named spermatid perinuclear RNA binding protein, with no coding region annotated. The transcript has 19 exons. The record is from RefSeq and is a predicted model, not a curated record. Lineage: Eukaryota; Metazoa; Chordata; Mammalia; Primates; Cercopithecidae.